GGGGGCGCGUGAGUUUCCUGGAGGCCUUCCAUAGUGAGUAUUUGGAGUCGGCUGUGGGGGACAAGCUGGCGAGAUAUUUGUGAAAACGGUCAUUAUUGUACUUUUUAAUGGUUUUGGAUAGUUUUCUAGUUGCGUUGUUUAGUUUGCGUUUGUCCUCCGGUGUUCUAUGGGUCUGCCAUAUCCUUCUUAGUCUACGUUUUUCUGCUAUUUUUUUAAUAUGUACUGGGGGUAUUCGUGAUUGCUGAUGGACGUUUUUGCCGGUGUGGAGAAGCGGAUAGCGUUUAUUAUGCUCGUGUUUAGGUAUUCCGUGGCUGCUUUGAUUUCUUCAUUGGUUUUUAGUGAAGUUGAGGCUGAAGUUGUGUGUGUAAAGACUUCUCUAAAGAGCUGCCAGUUGGUGUGUUGGUUAUGAAUGGAGCCAUUAGGUGUAUUCUCGAUGAUAGUAGAACUGACUGUUACUAUCACGGGGGAAUGAUCAGAGGAGAGAUCAGCCGAGGAAUUGAUUUGGACGUGUCUUGACGAGAUAUUUUUAGUUAUGAGGAAAUCAAGGAGAUCGGGUAUUUUGUUUGUGUCGGUGGGCCAGUGUGUGGGUUCGUAUGAGGUAAGGUAGUUGAGGUUGUUGGAUAUUAUGCUGUUGAGGAGGUUUUUGCCUCUUACUGUAACCUGUCUGCUACCCCAUUGGGUGUGUUUAGCGUUGUAGUCUCCUCCGGCUAUGCAUCUGUUGCCCAGGGUAUCUAGGAAGUGGUCGAAGUCUUCUUUGGCGAUGGAGUGUCUGGGAGGGCAGUAUACAGCUGAAGUGGUGAU
RNAcentral lists this unclassified non-coding RNA (801 nucleotides) under Bombus terrestris (buff-tailed bumblebee). RNAcentral describes it as "misc RNA ENSBTSG00005021051.1". The record is from RNAcentral. Lineage: Eukaryota; Metazoa; Arthropoda; Insecta; Hymenoptera; Apidae.